AUUCCAGCUCCAAUAGCGUAUAUUAAAGUUGUUGCAGUUAAAACGCUCGUAGUCGGAUUUCGGGGCGGCUUCGUCGGUCUGCCGAUGGGUAUGCACUGACGCGGGCGUCCUUCCUUCCGGAGACGCGUCCUACUCUUAGCUGAGCGGGGCGUGGAGACGGAUCGUUUACUUUGAAAAAAUCAGAGUGUUUCAAGCAGGCAUCAUCGCUCUUGCAUGGAUUAGCAUGGGAUAAUGAAAUAGGACCUUGGUGCUAUUUUGUUGGUUUCGAGCACCGAAGUAAUGAUUAACAGGGACAGUCAGGGGCACUCGUAUUCCGCCGAGAGAGGUGAAAUUCUCAGACCAGCGGAAGACGAACCACUGCGAAAGCAUUUGCCAGGGAUGUUUUCAUUA
RNAcentral lists this ribosomal RNA (390 nucleotides) under Dicrateria sp. RNAcentral describes it as "partial small subunit ribosomal RNA". It matches the Rfam family "Eukaryotic small subunit ribosomal RNA", at positions 582 to 975 of the family's 1831-position model. Lineage: Eukaryota; Haptophyta; Isochrysidales; Isochrysidaceae. The record is from RNAcentral.